This 798-nucleotide long non-coding RNA is filed under the name Homo sapiens (human). RNAcentral's name for it is "LIX1L antisense RNA 1". The record is from RNAcentral. Lineage: Eukaryota; Metazoa; Chordata; Mammalia; Primates; Hominidae.
AUCCACCCAAGACCCGGUUCCUCGAUUCCCAUCCUUACGACCGAGGAAAAAAGAGUAAAUUUUCCUAUUAUAGCCUUCUCUCGCACCUUCCCCGCUUCCCACCAGCCGUCUCCACUGUCCUCACCGUCCCCAUCCUCAUCCAUGGCGAAAUCUUCGCCCCCAGCCUCGUGAAGAUCUAGCACGUCCGCCAUCUCGCCUUCGAUCGAGAUCUCGUCUGUGCCGCUCAGACACUAGGUACCUCGGGAAACUGUCGCAGAGGGGAAAGGUCGCCAGUCAAGCUGACCAAUCAAAGGCUAACUCUAAAUCCCUCCCUCUGCACGGUAAAAACACGCAAAUUGGGGCGGGCCUAGUGCGGAAAGAUACCGGAAGUGUUUCUGUGGCCAUCUUGAACAGAUCGCAAGCUAAAUCAUCCAUCUUAGGAGGUACAGACUACAGGGGGCCGUGGCUUCCUCUUAACCGCGGCAGCUGCUGAUAAAUACUGUACUAUUAACAGUGAGGCCCGGCGUAAUUUCCUUAUUAGAGGGCUUCUUUACGUCUCUUCAUCCCAAACUGGGAAAUGCUUGCUGGCCUGCUCUAUAGUGCUGUUGCUUAAAAAGUCAUCUGUGAAGAAAACCAGAGGGAGAAAUUUCACCUGCCAAAGUGGAUAAAGAGUUCAGAUCUGCCAAGAAGACACCAAGAUGGGAUAGACAAUUGCAAGAGAUUUAUCAGGGAGGAAGUAGGAGACAACAGGGAGAGCCUUCUGAGCACAGCAAAGAUCUCAUGCCUGUGGAAGAGAGGGAAAGAAGGAGGUCUAGAUAU